GUUGACUCCUUCAAAGGCAGGGAGGUUCUACAGAGAGACCUCAAAAAAUCAGUGGGCUGAGCAAUCACCAACCAGAUCAAGUUCAUCAAGUGAAAGUGCUGGAUUCUGUACCUGGGAUGGGGUUACCCUGGAUAUGCAAGGUGCAAGAUACAAAACUCCAUGUGAGCUCAUACAUCAGUGCUGACAAAGGCCAGUGCUUCCUGACCUCAGCCAUGGGAGUACCAGAAGACAAUAGCCACAUUGUUUGGAGCAGAGGUUAAGGAGCUGAUUUAGCAUUAUUGUCAUUCUAUAUUGAAAUUAAUUUAAAAACUAA
Molecule: long non-coding RNA, 313 nt
Organism: Passer domesticus (house sparrow)
Lineage: Eukaryota; Metazoa; Chordata; Aves; Passeriformes; Passeridae
Exons: 2
Source: RefSeq, a predicted model, not a curated record